RNAcentral lists this ribosomal RNA (253 nucleotides) under uncultured bacterium. Its description in RNAcentral is "partial 16S ribosomal RNA". It matches the Rfam family "Bacterial small subunit ribosomal RNA", at positions 524 to 776 of the family's 1533-position model. The record is from RNAcentral.
UACGUAGGGUGCGAGCGUUGUCCGGAAUUAUUGGGCGUAAAGAGCUCGUAGGCGGUUUGUUGCGUCGGCCGUGAAAACCUGCAGCUUAACUGUGGGCCGGCGGCCGAUACGGGCAGACUUGAGUUCGGUAGGGGAGACUGGAAUUCCUGGUGUAGCGGUGAAAUGCGCAGAUAUCAGGAGGAACACCGGUGGCGAAGGCGGGUCUCUGGGCCGAUACUGACGCUGAGGAGCGAAAGCGUGGGGAGCGAACAGG